CCUACGGGUGACAGCAGUAGGGAAUAUUGCGCAAUGGGCGCAAGCCUGACGCAGCGACGCCGCGUGAGGGAUGAAGGUCUUCGGAUCGUAAACCUCUGUCAGCAGGGAAGAACGGUCACUGUGCUAAUCAGCAGUGAAUUGACGGUACCUGCCAAGGAAGCCCCGGCUAACUACGUGCCAGCAGCCGCGGUAAUACGUAGGGGGCAAGCGUUAUCCGGAUUUACUGGGUGUAAAGGGAGCGUAGACGGUCCUUCAGGGCAGAUGUGAAAGCCCGGGGCUCAACCCCGGGACUGCAUUUGAAACCGUAAGGCUUGAGUGUCGGAGAGGCAGGCGGAAUUCCUAGUGUAGCGGUGAAAUGCGUAGAUAUUAGGAGGAACACCAGUGGCGAAGGCGGCCGGCUGGACGACGACUGACGUUGAGGCUCGAAAGCGUGGGGAGCAAACAGGAUUAGAUACCCUUGUAGUC
RNAcentral lists this ribosomal RNA (465 nucleotides) under uncultured bacterium. Its description in RNAcentral is "partial 16S ribosomal RNA". It matches the Rfam family "Bacterial small subunit ribosomal RNA", at positions 338 to 795 of the family's 1533-position model. The record is from RNAcentral.